This 441-nucleotide ribosomal RNA is filed under the name uncultured bacterium. Its description in RNAcentral is "bacterial SSU rRNA". It matches the Rfam family "Bacterial small subunit ribosomal RNA", at positions 958 to 1398 of the family's 1533-position model. The record is from RNAcentral.
AACGCGAAGAACCUUACCUGGGUUUGACAUGCACAGGACGCGUCUAGAGAUAGGCGUUCCCUUGUGGCCUGUGUGCAGGUGGUGCAUGGCUGUCGUCAGCUCGUGUCGUGAGAUGUUGGGUUAAGUCCCGCAACGAGCGCAACCCUUGUCUCAUGUUGCCAGCACGUGAUGGUGGGGACUCGUGAGAGACUGCCGGGGUCAACUCGGAGGAAGGUGGGGAUGACGUCAAGUCAUCAUGCCCCUUAUGUCCAGGGCUUCACACAUGCUACAAUGGCCGGUACAAAGGGCUGCGAUGCCGUGAGGUGGAGCGAAUCCUUUCAAAGCCGGUCUCAGUUCGGAUCGGGGUCUGCAACUCGACCCCGUGAAGUCGGAGUCGCUAGUAAUCGCAGAUCAGCAACGCUGCGGUGAAUACGUUCCCGGGCCUUGUACACACCGUAGUAC